RNAcentral lists this ribosomal RNA (254 nucleotides) under uncultured bacterium. Its description in RNAcentral is "partial 16S ribosomal RNA". It matches the Rfam family "Bacterial small subunit ribosomal RNA", at positions 524 to 776 of the family's 1533-position model. The record is from RNAcentral.
GACAGAGGCCUCGAGCGUUAGGCGGAAUCACUGGGCUUAAAGCGUGUGUAGGCGGACCUCUAAGUACCUUGUGAAAUCCCACGGCUCACCCGUGGAACCGCUGGGUAUACUGGGGGUCUUGGGCCAUUCAGGGGCGACUGGAACAAGCGGUGGAGCGGUGAAAUGCGUAGAUAUCGCUUGGAACGCCGACGGUGAAAACAGGUCGCUGGGAAUGUACCGACGCUGAGACACGAAAGCCAGGGGGAGCAAACGGG